AACGAACGCUGGCGGCAGGCCUAACACAUGCAAGUCGAACGAGAUCUUCGGAUCUAGUGGCGGACGGGUGAGUAACGCGUGGGAACGUGCCCUUCUCUACGGAAUAGUCCCGGGAAACUGGGUUUAAUACCGUAUACGCCCUUUGGGGGAAAGAUUUAUCGGCAAGAGAUCGGCCCGCGUUGGAUUAGGUAGUUGGUGGGGUAAUGGCCUACCAAGCCGACGAUCCAUAGCUGGUUUGAGAGGAUGAUCAGCCACACUGGGACUGAGACACGGCCCAGACUCCUACGGGAGGCAGCAGUGGGGAAUCUUAGACAAUGGGGCAACCCUGAUCUAGCCAUGCCGCGUGUGUGAUGAAGGCCUUAGGGUCGUAAAGCACUUUCGCCAGGGAUGAUAAUGACAGUACCUGGUAAAGAAACCCCGGCUAACUCCGUGCCAGCAGCCGCGGUAAU
RNAcentral lists this ribosomal RNA (449 nucleotides) under uncultured bacterium. Its description in RNAcentral is "bacterial SSU rRNA". It matches the Rfam family "Bacterial small subunit ribosomal RNA", at positions 29 to 524 of the family's 1533-position model. The record is from RNAcentral.